Molecule: microRNA, 24 nt
Filed under: Bombyx mori (domestic silkworm)
Lineage: Eukaryota; Metazoa; Arthropoda; Insecta; Lepidoptera; Bombycidae
Description: bmo-miR-3322
Source: miRBase by way of RNAcentral
UCUCGUCGGUUUGAAGUUGGCUAG